RNAcentral lists this ribosomal RNA (480 nucleotides) under uncultured bacterium. Its description in RNAcentral is "bacterial SSU rRNA". It matches the Rfam family "Bacterial small subunit ribosomal RNA", at positions 30 to 507 of the family's 1533-position model. The record is from RNAcentral.
AUUGAACGCUGGCGGAAUGCUUUACACAUGCAAGGUCGAACGGUAGAGGGGGCAACCCCUUGAGAGUGGCGAACGGGUGAGUAAUAUAUCGGAACGUGCCCAGUCGUGGGGAUAACGUAGCGAAAGUUACGCUAAUACCGCAUACGAUCUACGGAUGAAAGCGGGGAUCGCAAGACCUCGCGCGAUUGGAGCGGCCGAUAUCAGAUUAGCUAGUUGGUGGGGUAAAAGCUCACCAAGGCGACGAUCUGUAGCUGGCUGAGAGGACGACCAGCCACACUGGAACUGAGGACACGGUCCAGACUCCUACGGGAGGCAGGCAGUGGGGAAUUUUGGACAAUGGGCGCAAGCCUGAUCCAGCAAUGCCGCGUGCAGGACGAAGGCCUUCGGGUUGUAAACUGCUUUUGUACAGAACGAAAAGGUCUCUAUUAAUACUAGGGGCUCAUGACGGUACUGUAAGAAUAAGCACCGGCUAACUACGUG